UGUGAGGGCGAUUGGGCUGUGACAUCCGUCACCCUAUUGAUUGCCAGCAUUGAUUGGACUGAUCUGGCUGGCCAGGUGGGUGUCCCCUUCUUCCUUUGCUAU
RNAcentral lists this small RNA (102 nucleotides) under Cavia aperea (Brazilian guinea pig). Its description in RNAcentral is "7SK RNA (ENSCAPG00000002226.1)". It matches the Rfam family "7SK RNA", at positions 4 to 105 of the family's 331-position model. From Rfam's summary of the family: 7SK was discovered as an abundant small nuclear RNA in the mid-70s but a possible function has only recently been suggested. The record is from RNAcentral. Lineage: Eukaryota; Metazoa; Chordata; Mammalia; Rodentia; Caviidae.